RNAcentral lists this ribosomal RNA (228 nucleotides) under uncultured bacterium. RNAcentral describes it as "partial 16S ribosomal RNA". It matches the Rfam family "Bacterial small subunit ribosomal RNA", at positions 259 to 504 of the family's 1533-position model. The record is from RNAcentral.
AACGGCCCACCAAGGCGAUGAUGCAUAGCCGACCUGAGAGGGUGACCGGCCACAUUGGGACUGAGACACGGCCCAAACUCCUACGGGAGGCAGCAGUGGGGAAUAUUGCACAAUGGGGGAAACCCUGAUGCAGCGACGCCGCGUGAAGGAAGAAGUAUUUCGGUAUGUAAACUUCUAUCAGCAGGGAAGAAACUGACGGUACCUGACUAAGAAGCACCGGCUAAAUAC